UCGAGCCGAACCCAGCCGAAUCGAGCCGAACCGGGACCCUCCGCCCCCCCCCCCCCCGCCUCUCCCCUCCCGUCCCUCGCCGCCACCGCUUAUCGAGGGACGACCGUGAGACAGACACUUCGGAGAGAACGCAAAAGCGCGUGUGACCGUCAAGGGUUUCAAAAAAAGGUUACUGGACGUCCCCAAUGAACUGGUACAGCGUCGCCGUCCUCCCAUCCACCUCUAGUUUCCCAAGAAAGUUGAAGGCGCCUCGCCCAGGCAGCUGCGACUGUCUUGGCUUCGUUAUUGUACAUUAAAGACAUGGGUUGGGGUAUUCAGAAUACCUUGCCCGUAU
Molecule: long non-coding RNA, 334 nt
Organism: Aquila chrysaetos chrysaetos
Lineage: Eukaryota; Metazoa; Chordata; Aves; Accipitriformes; Accipitridae
Exons: 2
Source: RefSeq, a predicted model, not a curated record